UGGAUGGUGGGGGGAGUAAAUGGAUCCUUUUUGAAGAAGCUAAAUCGUUCAAGUUUUAUCCAUAUUUGAAAGUUCAUAGCAUGCGUCGUGAAGCGGAAAUACAGACAGUUUCAUCAGAUAGUCAGCUUGCUGCAGCCAUUUCAAAUAGACACGACCGACCUUAGUGAGGUUUUAAGCUAAACAUGUUUUUCUGGUUAUUUGGAUGGUACGCUCUUCCUGCAUUUACAGCAUAUAAAUAUUCAAUAUCAGGCAAGCUUGUGGCAUUUUUGAGAUAUCAUUACAACAUGAUAGAUAAUAUCUGAUAUCGUGAAGGAAGGCCUGUUCGGUGUGUAAUUCAUUUAUUAAUUUAUCAUUAUUUGUCUCUCUUGGCUUAUAUUUAUUUAUACAGCUACAAAAGACAAGGAUCAAAUAUAGAUUGAAUGUGAGAGGAAAUUACAAUAGACAUUAAUUAUAAGUUAUUAGUUAUAUUAUAAAUUAUUAUAGUUACCCCA
Molecule: small RNA, 491 nt
Filed under: Histoplasma capsulatum var. duboisii H88
Lineage: Eukaryota; Fungi; Ascomycota; Eurotiomycetes; Onygenales; Ajellomycetaceae
Description: Histoplasma capsulatum H88 hypothetical RNA
Source: RNAcentral